RNAcentral lists this long non-coding RNA (414 nucleotides) under Salmo salar (Atlantic salmon). Its description in RNAcentral is "lncRNA (ENSSSAG00000109490.1)". Lineage: Eukaryota; Metazoa; Chordata; Actinopteri; Salmoniformes; Salmonidae. The record is from RNAcentral.
CUCCUCUCUCUCUGUCUUCAUCUCUCCUCUCCUUCUGUUAGUAUCUCUGAUCCCUCCUCUCUCUCUGUCUACAUCUCUCCUCUCCUUCUGUUAGUAUCUCUGAUCCCUCCUCUCUCUGUCUACAUCUCUCCUCUCCUUCUUAUCUCUGAUCCCUCCUCUCUCUCUGUCUACAUCUCUCCUUCUGUUAGUAUCUCUGAUCCCUCCUCUCUCUCUGUCUACAUCUCUCCUCUCCUUCUGUUAGUAUCUCUGAUCCCUCCUCUCUCUCUGUCUACAUCUCUCCUUCUGUUAGUAUCUCUGAUCCCUCCUCUCUCUCUGUCUUCAUCUCUCCUCUCCUUCUGUUAGUAUCUCUGAUCCCUCCUCUCUCUCUGUCUACAUCUCUCCUCUCCUUCUGUUAGUAUCUCUGAUCCCUCCUCU